AAUACUGGGAAGACCCUUCUUAGC
This 24-nucleotide non-coding RNA is filed under the name Arabidopsis thaliana (thale cress). Lineage: Eukaryota; Viridiplantae; Streptophyta; Magnoliopsida; Brassicales; Brassicaceae. The record is from RNAcentral.